GCCUUGAUCAUCGUUUUCCCCUGUAGAGUCUUACAUCUGUCCUGUUUUCCUCUGCAUUCCCAGAUUCGGAGCUGGGCUCAGUGUCGGCCACGUGGAUCGCAGAUCCUCAAUUAACGUAUGAUGAGUGGAUGAAAGAAUGAGUAAAUGAACGUGGAAGCUGAAUCAACACUGUCUCUGGGAUCUCAAAUUCAGAGGUGGUCUCCUUAUGAUCCUGCUUCAUCCUCUUCUGCAUCCAUUCUGUCUGGUGAACAAGAGCAAGUCCCAAGUAUCCACAUCUUAAAGCCAAAGUCCCAAGCUUCUUUCACAUUGCAGCACCAUAGAGACCUGGCAAAUGGAACUGAAAGGGGAGCUCUUCAUGAAAGGAAAGACAGACUCUCAGUGCCCCAGAAACCCUGGGCCAAAUUCAAUCAGCACUUGGCACACAGACAACGCUGACAUAUUUGUGGAAUGAAUGAGCGGCUGCACAAACGAACGGGUCCUAAACACCACUGGGGUGUCCAAGCUGCUCUGGCUUCGGCUGGCUCCUGGAAAACGCUGCCAUUUCUUGGCUGGUGGCUGCGUCACUCCAAUCUCUGCCUCUGUCAUCACAGGACCUUCUUCUCUGUGUGUCCUUCUCUGUCUCUUAUUGGACUCUGGGCCCACCCUAAUCUAGUAUGAUCUCAUCUUGAUCCUUACCUCAUCACAUCUGCAAAGACCCUGUUUCCAAAUAAGGUCCCAUUCUGAAGUUCUGAGUUGACAUGAAUUUGGGGAGGACACACCAUCCACCCCACUAUAGAUAACGUCUCCCCCAAGAAGGCAUCCUGAUGAGCCCUCGUCGCUCUCUGUCCCAGGCUGGGCCACCAUGACACCGACUCCUCCUCGUCUCCCCAUUUCAUCAGGGGCAUCUCGUGGCAGGGACCAUGUCUGAGAAGAUACUCAGUACAUGUGUACUGAGCUGAACUAAAACAUAUCACAGGGACUAGCAACUCUUUAAUGGAUUCCAAGGUCAAUGUAUAUGAGAAACAGCUUCCGAGUAGCUUCCCAAAAGUCCAAGAUUCCAGGCCUUGUGGUCCAGAAAUCUCCAGUAACACUCGCAGCAGAAGCUGAUGGUCCAGAAAAUGGUGCUUUGAGGACAGAGAUUCAAGAAUUCCAGGGGUCUGAAAGACGCAAGCACAGAGGUAGGUCCUAUUCGAAAUCAGAGGCUAUCUCUGCAGUUUCCCCAAAGGACCCAUUGGCUCUACUCACAUUCAGAGACAAGAGGCCACCUCAGGGCAACUGCAAAAUCAAAACCCUCUGAAAGGGGCUGGAAGGGAGGCAAUGUGGAGACAUCUAUACUCAAGAUAAGGCCGAGGAGAAAAUGGUAGAAUUCAUUAGCAGAGCCUCUGAGACACUUCUCUUUUGUGGAGUAUUGGAGAAGAAAACGGAAUUAAUCCCCACUUUGGCUAUAGAUUUAUUUGGCUUAUCUGAAGGGCAAAACUAAGAGUGCUAAUGGAUUUGAAAGAGCCCAGAUAAUUCUCCACUUGAGGCUGAGACCACCGGGGUCUGUGCCCAUGGGUGCAACGAUUAGCCCGCAGAAAAUGUUAGCUGAGUGAAGGAAUCCAUGAGUGAUGAUGACUGAUGUUUACUGCCCAGUUGCUAAGCACCACAUAACCACGUGACCUGGCUCAGGUAUCACAGGAACCUUCCAGCAUCUCCUCAGCACCCUUCCUGAAACCCUACCCAAAACAGCCGCCGCCCCCACCCACUGCAUUAUUCUUGCUCACCCCUUGUAUCUUCCCUUCAUACCUUUUAUCAUAAUUAUUUAUUGUUUUAUUUGUUUUCCUGAGUUUACUUAGUUGACACCCUCACCCAAAUGGAGGUUCCCUGAGGACGGAGAACAGGGCUGCCUUGGCCACAUCUGUUUCCCUGGUUCCUGACACAGAGCAAUCAAAACAGGUUUGCUGAAUGAAUGAAUGAACGAAUGGCAGUUGGGCAUUAGGAUGCAGCACAAAGGAGAGAGGAGUGGCAAGUGUCCUUAUAUGAGAAAGGCUGAGGGAGAUUUGAGACACAGAGGAGAAGGCUGCGUGAAGACGAAGGCAGAGACGAGCUAUGCAGCCCACAAGCCAAGGAUGCCUGAAGCCAUCAGAAGCUGGAGGAGACAAGGAAGAGUCCUCACCAGAGCCUCCAGAGGGAGGGCAGCCCUGGCAACAACUUGAUUUUGGACUUCUGGCCUCCAGAACUUGAGAGAAUACACUUCUGUUGUUUUAGGCCAUCACGUUGUUUCAGCAGCCAGAGGAAACUAAUACACUCCCUCAUAGGAUUGCUGCAAGAAUUAAAAGAGGGGUCCAUGAAAGACAAUGUCCCCAAAUGACGGGUCUUUACAUCUCUGUGUCCAUCAUGGAGGAUCGUGGGCACUUAUCCUCAUCUUCAAACUGGAUGUGAUGAUGAGACCACAGAAUCCUGAGCAGUCACCCUCCAAAUCUUCCAACAUGAAAGAAGAUCCCGGGCAAUUCAGCAUCAUUGGAGUCCCCACCAUGGACAAGCCAGGGAAGAGUUCUCUUUGGUUGGGAGAAGUCUAAAAAUGUAGAAAUGUGGAGAGACUCCAGAUUGCUUCCCAACCCAAUUUCCAUCACAUGAAAAUUGAUGUGACGAAAAGUUUGCAAUCUAGAAGAGGGCCGUCACCUGACCAUGCUGGCACCCUAAUCUUGGACUUCCAGCCUCCAGAGCUGUGAGAACUGCUAUGCUGUGAGGAAGUCAAGCAGCCCCAUGAAGAGAGGCUCACAUGGCGAGAAACUGAGGUCUCCCCAUUGAUGGUCUGGCUGAGAUCCCGCUGACAACCAGAAACCACCUACUAAUCAUGUGAGUAUGCCAUCUUGGAAGCGGAUCUUUCAGCAGCAUCAGCUGAUGCUGCAUGAGCUACGUCGCUGAGCCCUGCCCAAAUUCCUGACUCGUAAAUCAGGAGAUGAAAUAAAAUCAUUGUUUGAAGUCACUAAGUUCUGAGGUACUUUGUUAUUCAGCAACGGAUCAUUGGAACAUGAGCUAACCACAGUCUUUCUCUCCCAACGAUUUGAAAUUUCGGUUGGAGAUAAACAAAAUAUUGGAAAUUUUAGGAGCCGAGUCUCAUUAAAAGCAACCCUUGGUGUGCAUUAGAAUCACAUGGAGAAACUGUGUCACAUGUAAAGUUCUGGUCUACAAUCUUUCCCCUAAAGUUCUGAACCAAUCAGACUGGGUAGAGCUUAGGGAUAUUUUAAGCAAACAUUGUAAGAAAGCAUCCCAGGUGCUUCUGAUAUCAUGGACUAAAACCAUGAUUUGGAUACACAACUUAGAGAAACAACACACACACAUCCACUUAGACUUUCCCUCCCCCUGCGUUGCCAAACUGGCCUUGACUUGAGCCCCUGACAAUCCAGUGUUAGCUAUUUGUAGCCUAAAAACUGGUUGGAUCUCAAGGUGAAGAAAAGCCCACAUCAAUUAAAAAAACUCAGCAGAGGAAUGGUGGUGCUUGAAUCCUCGUGAACCCACAGUUCUCUCUAAAUUGAACUUGAAGACUUAAUCAUCUCCCCAAUUUUAGAAUCCUGAAAUAUCUAGGACUGCGAGAUUAAAGACCUCUUUAAACUUCAAUGUGAAAUGUGUUCUGGUCCUUGCUAUAUUUUUUCUCCAAAAGGCAAAUCUCAUCAGCCACCUUGGGGAUUCUUCUGGAUUAUAUCACAGACAACAGGAUUCUCUCAGUAAGACAAGCUGGCUGUGACUGCCAGUAUCUGCAGACAGAAUUUCAAAGGGCUGGUCAGUAUGUGUGAACUCUAGAGAGGUGAUCGCUCUGGGGGGAAGAGUUCCUUUGAGGAGUUCAGAUAGGAAAGCUGAUUUACAGGCACUGGCCUCCCACAGUCCUGCUCUAGUUAGACAUGAAUCGGGUCAAGGUCUGUGUGUUCUUUCCCGCUUGAAGGUUUAUUUGGGAACAAGAAAAAGAGAGGAAAAAAAAAAUCUCUGUAAGUUAAGUUGGUGAACUAUUCACUUUUUCCCACAGCCAGUCCAAAGAGGCAAAUACUAUAUAAAUGAGUAUUUGAUAAGACUCAGCGUGACAAGCCUGGAGUUUUCAAAUAUGGGGUCAGUGCUAGCAAACUUGGAAAGCAGGUAACAUUUACUUCAGCAAACUUCUCCCAACUCUGUGUUUCAUAAAACCUCUCCUUGCUUUACCCCCUGUCUUCAUAUUGCCCUUCUGUCCCUCAGUCUUCCCCACGCUAAGCUUCCCUGCCUAGAAACAGCUUCUUUAGGAAGUAACUUAAGCUCCAGAAGUGUUUUCCUCCUCUUUCUUCAAUCUUCCCACCCCUCCAUCGAAACAAACCCUUCCCAAUAUCCAUGCCCUCUGGACCCUCCUCACACCUCAUCAUGAUUCAUCCUUCUGGCAGCUCUAAGUAGGGGAGAAUUUUUAUUAUUAUCCUUCAUGUUUCAGUUUUGCAUUUUAUAGGAUACUGGAAGAAGCAAUCCCUUGGGGUAACUAGUAGUUAAAGCUUCAGGCUCAUAGCAGUGAGAUGAUAGGGUUUAAAGCAAUGCAUGGCUAAAGAACAUAUGAUACGUGCGUGCGUGCGUGCGCGGGUGCGCGCGCGCACACACACACACACACACACGCUGGAAUACUACUCAGUCAUUAAAAAACGAAAAUUUGCCAUUUGCAGCAACAUGGAUAGACUUGGAGGGCAUUAUGUUAAGUGAAAUAAAUCAAACAGAGAAAGACAAAUACUGUAUGAUAUCACUUAUCUGUGGAAUCUAAAAAAUACAACUAGUGAGUAUAACAAAAAAGAAGCAGACCCACAGAUACAGACAACAGACCAGCAGUUACAAGUGGGGAAAGGGGAGGGGGAAGGGGAAAGAUAGGGGUAGGGGAAUAAAAGGUACAAACUACUAGGUAUAAAAUAAGCUACAAGGAUACAUUGUACAACACUGGGAAGAGGACCAAUAUUUUAUAAUGACUAUAAAUGGGGUAUAACUUUUAAAACUGUAAAUCAUUAUAUUAUAUCCAGUAUAUAAAUACUUACAUAAUAUUUUACAGCAACUAUAUUAUCAUUUUCUAAAACGUUUAUAGCAGCUUUAUUCAUAGUUGCCUAAAACUACAAAUAACCCAAAUGUUCAUCAGCAGAAUUGAUAAAGCACAAUAUACAUAUAUCAUGAAGUUCUAGCCACAUUAAGGAAGAAACAAACAACUGCUCCAGGCUACAAUGUUGGUGAAUCUCAGACAUAAUGAGCAGUAUAUACGUCAAUUCUUUUAAAAAAGCACUGAAGGAGGAAAAAAAAGCAAUGCAUGGCUCCUUCUUUGUACCAGGCAAACUCAGAGGCUCAGGGGAGUUGCGGGGUCCUGGGCACUGAGGAAAGAAGAGUUCAUUCUUAAACGAGGGUUUAACUGAAUACGUUUGGAUGUUUGGAAUAAAAAUGACCUCUCCUGUAACUUAGAAUCUAUUUAUUCUUCCCUGUGCAAAUUAACAAAGCUUAUUUUUAAAAUCUGGAAAAUAAAACCAACUCAAUUAAAUUUUAAAAAAAUGGAAAUCUGAAACUCACCCUCCCAAGGUUCUACUGGCUGACUCUGUGGCACAUUCUUGUGGGCAGUUUACAUUCAAGGCACGUCACAGCCCUUGGCCCUGGCUCAGCAUGGAGAAGGGGGCACUGAUCAGUCUGUCUGACCAAAGCUAAUUUCCCAGCUUGUCUACCUUGGAUCCCAAGAUUUCUAACGUAACUCUAUUUUCACAUGAAAAAAAAUCCAGACUAGAAAUCAGAAGAGCCGACUUGUAACCCAGGUUCUGCUGCUAAAUAUGGGGUCUUGAACUUAAGAGAAAAAUGAAGAGUACAAACCUGGGAAAUUUCUCUUCACCCUAAAAAAUCUAGGAUUCCAAGAUUGAAGGUCUUUGUUUAAAAUACACAUUAAUUCCCUGAAAGGAGUGACACAUUAAUCAUCUACUACCCACUGCCCCUUAGCUCAAAUGAACUUCCC
Molecule: non-coding RNA, 5938 nt
Organism: Kogia breviceps (pygmy sperm whale)
Lineage: Eukaryota; Metazoa; Chordata; Mammalia; Artiodactyla; Physeteridae
Source: RefSeq, a predicted model, not a curated record